CCUGGGGCAGCUCCCUGCAGGCUUCAAGAGCCUCAGUGCCCUCAGGUCCCCAUUCCGGUGGUGCAGAGCUGGGCUCACAGCUGGGAUCCCUUCUGCCACCCCGGGGACAUUCCGUCCUUCUCCGUGCCUCAGUUUCCCCACCUAUAACACAGCUCAGGACCUGCAAACGGCAAAGCAGAGCUCAGCAGAGCAGAGCUCAGAGCUCAGCAUCACUGGAUGGAGGAACCCAUGGUUGGAUCAUUUAAGUAGGAAAGGAGGGCAUUUAAAUACAGGAAAAAAAAACAAUGGAAUGUGAAAAGCUCAUGGACCUGCCCUGAAUUAAAGAGGCCUCCGAGGCAGCAGCAUGGCAAUGGUCUUCAUCCUGGGAAGGACCCCACCAUGAACGUUUGCUUUCUCCUCUUUGGAGUCUCAAGCCCUUGAAAUCCUGCUUAGUGACAUCGAGGAAGGAAAUGAC
Molecule: long non-coding RNA, 454 nt
Filed under: Gallus gallus (chicken)
Lineage: Eukaryota; Metazoa; Chordata; Aves; Galliformes; Phasianidae
Description: lncRNA (ENSGALG00010027770.1)
Source: RNAcentral